CAGCGCCACGAGUGGGAACCAGCUUUAUUUGGCCUAAAGCGUCCGUAGCUGGUUUAGUAAAUCCUUUGUGAAAUCAUCGAGCUUAACUCGAUGUCAUGCAGGGGACACUGCUAAACUCGAAACCGGGAGGAGUCUGAGGUAUUCUAGGGGGAGCGGUAAAAUGCUAUAAUCCCUAGAGGACCACCUGUGGCGAAGGCGUCAGACUAGAACGGAUUUGACAGUGAGGGACGAAAGCCAGGGGAGCGAUCCGGAUUAGAUACCCGAGUAGUCC
This 271-nucleotide ribosomal RNA is filed under the name uncultured archaeon. RNAcentral's name for it is "partial 16S ribosomal RNA". It matches the Rfam family "Archaeal small subunit ribosomal RNA", at positions 477 to 747 of the family's 1478-position model. The record is from RNAcentral.